Molecule: long non-coding RNA, 665 nt
Filed under: Jatropha curcas
Lineage: Eukaryota; Viridiplantae; Streptophyta; Magnoliopsida; Malpighiales; Euphorbiaceae
Description: long non-coding RNA (JCUR_LNC000178)
Source: RNAcentral
CAAGAGCACUAGAGGCUCCAUAAGAACACAUAGGGAGUUGCCUUAAGCAAUUUAAUUCAUCCCAAAGUUUCUUCAGCUUUAUAAAAUAGACAACAUGCAUUUUUCCUUAAGAAAAUAAACUGAUCUCCCUCGUAAUUUGGUAUAGACAUGGUCCAUUUGGUCUCACCAAAACGUUGAGCCAUUUCUUCCCAUAAUGUCUGUGCAAAGUCUGUGAACAAAAAAGCUUCCACUAUCUCUUUGGAUAUGGAGUUUAAAACCCAUGACACAACCAUUGAAUCAACUCUUAACCACUUCUCAUAUUAUGAUGAGUUGUUGUUAGGUUUUGAAAAAUUGCCAUCAAUGAAUCCUAUUUUAUUCUUAGCUCUCAAUGUUAUAAUCACGGACCUGCUCCAUGAAAGGUAAUUCAAUCCAGUUAAGGGAGAACUUACAAGAGUCAAGAGUCAUCUGAUAUGAGUUUUGCAGUGCUAGUAUUUCUUCAUCGCUGCCAGUAACUCCUCCAAUUCUAGUUCUGCUGGUCAUGGCUUCAUCUACAAGAGUCAUCUUGAAUCAGGAUCAAGCAAUCGCGGUCCACAAGAUCGUUUACCACUCUAAACCAUGAAAAAUUGAAAUUGCAUUCUCAAAUAUGCUCUAAUGGAGAUUAGAAUUCUAUCAAGAACAAAUUUGGG